AUUAUGUGAUUUUAAAAGAAGUAUCAGAAACAGUUUUUGAUCUAACUAACUCAAUAAGUUUCAAUAAUGUAAUAGAAGAAAUGAAAGGACUCUAUUCACUCGAAAUAAUUAGUGGUAUUAAUAACAAGUGGGCGGUGACGUGUAAAGUGUUGGGGCUAUCAAUAUGGGUGUGUGAAGUCGCUAGUGAAGGAAUCAUUAAUAGCUUAUGAAACAACUAGAGGAGGAGGAGGAGAAAGAGGGAGAAGAAAUGGAGAAUGAGACCCAUACUGACCAACUUUGGUACUGGAACAAGUUUCAGUUUUUGGUAGCUAAAUUAUCAUUUCUUGGUCUGAGAGACCAGCUCCUAUCUCAUUCUACCGUCCUUGCCAUUGAGAAUAAAGUUAAAGAUUAUGUGACUGAUUGUUACUCCGACAUAUUUGACGAGAGUUUGUUGGGCAUAGUCAUCAAGGAAAUUCAGGAUUUAUUAAGCAGUUGGCUCAAUGCCAUAUAUGGUGACAUUAGUAAGGAGUGGUCUGGUAGGAUAUUACAUCCCAUAUACAAUUGCUAUGGACAAUUAUGGUAUUACAUGUACAUGUAUGUUUCAGCUUUUUUUGCUUAGGAUCUGUGAAUUGUUUGAUAUUAUUGUUGAUUUUCCUGAUUCAGAAUCAGUCCUGGUUGAUUUGUGUGAGUGCUUGUGUCACAUUGAUUUGAGACAAGAGCUCAUGGAACCAUUAAUUAAAGUGUUAGACUCAAAUUUGCAUGUAACAAAUCCAUUUUCUCUUCUAAUAAAUUAAAUUAAUUUUUACAAAUGUGUUAUUAUUAUUAUUUAGAAUAAAUUGAUCUCU
Molecule: long non-coding RNA, 824 nt
Organism: Amphimedon queenslandica
Lineage: Eukaryota; Metazoa; Porifera; Demospongiae; Haplosclerida; Niphatidae
Exons: 4
Source: RefSeq, a predicted model, not a curated record